GAGGAAGUAAAAGUCGUAACAAGGUUUCCGUAGGUGAACCUGCGGAAGGAUCAUUACCUAGAGUUGUAGGCUUUGCCUGCUAUCUCUUACCCAUGUCUUUUGAGUACCUUACGUUUCCUCGGUGGGUUCGCCCACCGAUUGGACAAAUUUAAACCCUUUGCAGUUGAAAUCAGCGUCUGAAAAAACUUAAUAGUUACAACUUUCAACAACGGAUCUCUUGGUUCUGGCAUCGAUGAAGAACGCAGCGAAAUGCGAUAAGUAGUGUGAAUUGCAGAAUUCAGUGAAUCAUCGAAUCUUUGAACGCACAUUGCGCCCCUUGGUAUUCCAUGGGGCAUGCCUGUUCGAGCGUCAUUUGUACCUUCAAGCUCUGCUUGGUGUUGGGUGUUUGUCUCCUGUAGACUCGCCUUAAAACAAUUGGCAGCCGGCGUAUUGAUUUCGGAGCGCAGUACAUCUCGCGCUUUGCACUCAUAACGACGACAUCCAAAAGUACAUUUUUACACUCUUGACCUCGGAUCAGGUAGGGAUACCCGCUGAACUUAAGCAUAU
Molecule: ribosomal RNA, 546 nt
Filed under: Ampelomyces sp. M51
Lineage: Eukaryota; Fungi; Ascomycota; Dothideomycetes; Pleosporales; Phaeosphaeriaceae
Description: eukaryotic LSU rRNA
Rfam family: 5.8S ribosomal RNA (bases 198-351)
Source: RNAcentral